Non-coding RNA from Pimephales promelas (fathead minnow), 292 nucleotides. The record is from RefSeq and is a predicted model, not a curated record. Lineage: Eukaryota; Metazoa; Chordata; Actinopteri; Cypriniformes; Leuciscidae.
GUCUACAGAAGCGUUUUUUGUGGUGUUGAGAGUAUUUUGGAGGAAGUGAUGAGAAGCAGCGACGAAGAGCAAAGACGCAGAGAGAUGCAUCUGAGAACACGGUGUCGAGCGUCUGUCGAGAGGAGAUGUUUGUUCAUGGACUCGAUCCCGUUUUAGAUCGUGGCUUUGGUUUCCAGAACAAACCUUGGUGGUGACUGCCUUGAUCAACAUGUCUUCCUACACUUUGUAAAUACUGUAAGCGGUUGCUUUUUGUUUUUGUAAUUGGAUAUUCAUUGUAAUUGUUUAUUGUAAC